Molecule: ribosomal RNA, 253 nt
Filed under: uncultured bacterium
Lineage: Bacteria
Description: partial 16S ribosomal RNA
Rfam family: Bacterial small subunit ribosomal RNA
Source: RNAcentral
UACGGAGGGUGCAAGCGUUAAUCGGAAUUACUGGGCGUAAAGCGCACGCAGGCGGUCAAUUAGGUCAGAUGUGAAAUCCCCGGGCUUAACCUGGGAAUUGCAUCUGAAACUGGUUGGCUAGAGUCAUGUAGAGGGGGGUAGAAUUCCAUGUGUAGCGGUGAAAUGCGUAGAGAUGUGGAGGAAUACCGGAGGCGAAGGCGGCCCCUUGGGCAAAGACUGACGCUCAGGUGCGAAAGCGUGGGGAGCAAACAGG